Molecule: ribosomal RNA, 424 nt
Filed under: uncultured bacterium
Lineage: Bacteria
Description: bacterial SSU rRNA
Rfam family: Bacterial small subunit ribosomal RNA
Source: RNAcentral
UGGGGAAUUUUGCGCAAUGGGGGAAACCCUGACGCAGCGAUGCCGCGUGGAGGACGAAGGUCUUCGGAUUGUAAACUCCUUUUGCAGGGGGCAAAUGACCCGGUGAAUAACCGGGAGUGAUGGUACUCUGCGAAUAAGCCACGGCUAACUUCGUGCCAGCAGCCGCGGUAAGACGAAGGUGGCGAGCGUUACUCGGAAUUACUAGGCGUAAAGCGUGGGCAGGCGGUCCGGCAAGUCUGUUGUGAAAUCUCCCGGCUCAACCGGGAGGGGCCAAUGGAUACUGCUGGGCUUGAAUGUGGGAGGGGUGACUGGAAUUCCUGGUGUAGCGGUGAAAUGCGUAGAGAUCAGGAGGAACACCAAUGGCGAAAGCAGGUCACUGGACCACUAUUGACGCUCAUCCACGAAAGCUGGGGGAUCAAACAGG